UGGGGAAUAUUGGACAAUGGGCGGAAGCCUGAUCCAGCCAUGCCGCGUGUGUGAAGAAGGCCUUUUGGUUGUAAAGCACUUUAAGCGAGGAGGAGGCUACUUGGAUUAAUACUCUAGGAUAGUGGACGUUACUCGCAGAAUAAGCACCGGCUAACUCUGUGCCAGCAGCCGCGGUAAUACAGAGGGUGCGAGCGUUAAUCGGAUUUACUGGGCGUAAAGCGUGCGUAGGCGGCUUCUUAAGUCGGAUGUGAAAUCCCUGAGCUUAACUUAGGAAUUGCAUUCGAUACUGGGAAGCUAGAGUAUGGGAGAGGAUGGUAGAAUUCCAGGUGUAGCGAUGAAAUGCGUAGAGAUCUGGAGGAAUACCGAUGGCGAAGGCAGCCAUCUGGCCUAAUACUGACGCUGAGGUACGAAAGCAUGGGGAGCAAACAGG
This 430-nucleotide ribosomal RNA is filed under the name Acidobacteriota bacterium. RNAcentral's name for it is "Acidobacteria bacterium partial 16S ribosomal RNA". It matches the Rfam family "Bacterial small subunit ribosomal RNA", at positions 355 to 776 of the family's 1533-position model. Lineage: Bacteria; Pseudomonadati; Acidobacteriota. The record is from RNAcentral.